Molecule: long non-coding RNA, 369 nt
Filed under: Ananas comosus (pineapple)
Lineage: Eukaryota; Viridiplantae; Streptophyta; Magnoliopsida; Poales; Bromeliaceae
Description: long non-coding RNA (ACOM_LNC009149)
Source: RNAcentral
UUUGAAUUAAGAUUUAAUCUUUAAGUUGAAAUAUGAUUUUAGAAUUUAAUUUUAAUUAUAAGGUAUAACUUAAAAUUUAAAUUCAAAUUAAAUUUGAUUAUAUGUCUUAAAUUUUAAUUAUAAAUUUUAAUCACAAUUAGGUUUAAAUUUAAAAUUUAAAAUUUAAUUUUGAAUUCCAAGUGUAAAUUUAAAUUUAAAUUUAAUUUAUAGUCGUUUGUUUAUAUUUUUACUUUUUUAAUAUAAUCAAAUAAUCAAACAAUCGAAAUCAUCAAAACCAAAUUUUUUUAUUUUUUACUUUAUAUCCAACCAAACAAUGAAAUUCAAAAAUUACUUUCCUAAAAGCCACUUUUAUAAAAUUAACUUUUUUCA